CUACGGGAGGCAGCAGUGGGGAAUCUUGCGCAAUGGGCGAAAGCCUGACGCAGCAACGCCGCGUGCGGGAAGAAGGCCUUCGGGUUGUAAACCGCUUUCAGUAGGGACGAACACAGACGGUACCUACAGAAGAAGCCCCGGCCAACUACGUGCCAGCAGCCGCGGUAACACGUAGGGGGCGAGCGUUGUCCGGAUUUAUUGGGCGUAAAGAGCUCGUAGGCGGCUCAGUAAGUCGGGUGUGAAACCUCCAGGCUCAACCUGGAGACGCCACCCGAUACUGCUGUGGCUAGAGUCCGGUAGAGGAGCGUGGAAUUCCUGGUGUAGCGGUGAAAUGCGCAGAUAUCAGGAGGAACACCAACGGCGAAGGCAGCGCUCUGGGCCGGUACUGACGCUGAGGAGCGAAAGCGUGGGGAGCAAACAGGAUUAGAAACCCCAGUAGUCC
This 442-nucleotide ribosomal RNA is filed under the name uncultured bacterium. Its description in RNAcentral is "bacterial SSU rRNA". It matches the Rfam family "Bacterial small subunit ribosomal RNA", at positions 339 to 796 of the family's 1533-position model. The record is from RNAcentral.